Molecule: long non-coding RNA, 1158 nt
Filed under: Zea mays
Lineage: Eukaryota; Viridiplantae; Streptophyta; Magnoliopsida; Poales; Poaceae
Description: long non-coding RNA (ZMAY_LNC001630)
Source: RNAcentral
UUCUGCAUCGCGCCCUGCUCAGCUUCUCUGGUGCCUGCAGCCGCUCCAUGUCGCCAUUCCAGUCGACCUCAUUGCUCAUUGCUCCUGAUGGAUGAUUGGAUCUUGUAAUGUUGCGACAACGACACGCAAUGGUGAUUUCCUUUCUCUGCUGCUGCCUGUACGGUGCUCGGGAUAUUCCCAUUCAUUAUUGUCUUUGCCUCUCUAGCCACCCGUUAGACGCUCGAUGCAAUGUCUAAACUGAAAACCAUCAUCUUUCUUGUGUUUAUCACGUCGGAUUGGUCAUGGUAAGCUGAUUUGUUGCUUGUAUAGUUGGAUUGAUGACUAGUCUAGCUAGGGAUAUUAAUCGCGAUGAUUACCUUGUUUGUAUAGCAGGCGAGUUGCGAUUAUAUUAUGUUGAUGAAAUGUGUUAGUAAUUUUAAUGGUCUCGCCGAUAAAUGUUGUCGGUGUUGCUUGUAAGGAGUUGUGUUGGUUUGAUGAAGUUGAUGCUCUGUUUUAGUAAUCAUCAUAUUUUAGCAAGUAAUUAGUUAGAUGUCUUGAAUAAGCUGUUUCGAGUGUCUAAACAUAUGUAGUACAAACAAGCUGAAUACAAUUGAAACUUGAGAACUUCGUAGUGGAUGGUGCACGCAAGUAUUUUAGAUAGUUAAAUUAUUGAGUCUGCAGUUUCUCAUAACACUUUUCUACUUGACAAUACUUUAUUAACUAGAUCAAAUAGUGUGCUUAAAUUGAUUCUUUGGUUACAUAAUGUGGGAGUAGAUUCAAAAUACCAGGUUAUGUGAAGUGAUUGGAUUCAUGGUUAUAAAGUAGGAGAAAUGCGAGUGUGUAGUUAGUAUGUAUAGUUUAUUAUUUCGUGAUUAUUGUGUUGGGUCAUAUGUCGAUAACCAGUAUUCUCGUAUGAGUGAUGUACUGUGCCUCUCCGUUAAGUGUUUAAUUCUCUACCCUGUAGCAUUGUUUAUUAUCGUUAUAAUCCUUAUGCAUUCAUGUGCAUAAUGCAUCUCAUUUAGGUACGAUAAUUAAUCACGUGAUGCGGAGGAAAAGAGCCAAGUUGAUCUCAAGAUGGUGCAAGGAGUAGUCUUUUUUGCACAACGACGUCGUCAGUCGGACGAACCUGAAGAGGUACGGACGGAGCAAAUAUCAGAACAAAAGCUGAUCGCCAAGUGG